UACGGGGGGAGCAAGCGUUGUUCGGAUUUACUGGGCGUAAAGGGCGCGUAGGCGGCGCAACAAGUCACUUGUGAAAUCUCCGGGCUUAACCCGGAGCGGCCAAGUGAUACUGCCGUGCUAGAGUGCGGAAGGGGCUACUGGAAUUCUCGGUGUAGCGGUGAAAUGCGUAGAUAUCGAGAGGAACACCUGCGGCGAAGGCGGGUAGCUGGGCCGACACUGACGCUGAUGCGCGAAAGCCAGGGGAGCGAACGGG
Molecule: ribosomal RNA, 253 nt
Filed under: uncultured bacterium
Lineage: Bacteria
Description: partial 16S ribosomal RNA
Rfam family: Bacterial small subunit ribosomal RNA
Source: RNAcentral